UGCGCAGGCGGCUUGCUAAGUCGGAUGUGAAAGCCCCGGGCUUAACCUGGGAAUUGCAUUCGAUACUGGCGAGCUAGAGUCUGGUAGAGGUAAGCGGAAUUCCGGGUGUAGCGGUGAAAUGCGUAGAUAUCCGGAGGAACAUCAGUGGCGAAGGCGGCUUACUGGACCAAGACUGACGCUCAGGCACGAAAGCGUGGGUAGCAAACA
RNAcentral lists this ribosomal RNA (207 nucleotides) under uncultured bacterium. Its description in RNAcentral is "partial 16S ribosomal RNA". It matches the Rfam family "Bacterial small subunit ribosomal RNA", at positions 568 to 774 of the family's 1533-position model. The record is from RNAcentral.